AUCUGGUGUAGCUGCUGGGAGCCCUGGGCUGGAUAUGUACCCAGGUGACUCAUGGGGAAGGAUGCACCCUUCUGAGAAGCAUCACCUUUCUCAAGAAGCAUGACAGAGCUCCCGAUAUUAGACUUUCAAGACGUCUACCAGGCCUUCUUUGGAAUAAAUUGUGUCAUUGAAUGGGUCUUGCCUCCAAUAAAUCUCUUGCACUUCCAACUCCAUCUUGGCAUCUACUUUCUGGAAACCCCAACUGACCCAUUGUGCAAAAACACCUUUUGAGAGGUUACCCACUUAUUUCUAACGUAAGAGCUUUCCUACUUGCUUUUGUCUUUUUUUUUUUCUGGGUUGAAUUGUCUAUAUCUGAGCUCCUGAUUUCUCCUAUCUAGGCUCACCUUAAUCCCAGCAAUAAAGGAGGUGAUGUGGGAACCCUUAGAAGUAACUGAUGGAAAGCAAAUAAAGUAGGGAAGAUAAUGAGUAGCUGGCAAUUGGCUCAUAAAUAUCCCUGGCACAGCCUGAGACAGUCCUUGGCUGCCUUUUCUGGAGCUGAAUCUUCCAUUGUGAUGAGAAAGAAGUUGCCAGCAGACACAGGUGUGCAGCCUCACCUCCAG
RNAcentral lists this long non-coding RNA (599 nucleotides) under Homo sapiens (human). RNAcentral describes it as "HSALNT0218721". The record is from RNAcentral. Lineage: Eukaryota; Metazoa; Chordata; Mammalia; Primates; Hominidae.